AUAAGUAGGUUGUAAGCCAGGGCCCCACGAAAAGAGAUUCGCCGUUCACACAGGGUUUUCCACUUUUCUAUAUUUCAGGUUUUUUUUAUUUAUAUAUUUUACAGGUAUUUUCCCGUUUCAGGUUUUUUCUAUUUUUUAGUCUAUUUUACAGGUUUCUUUUUUAUUUUUUCUUCUCUUUCAGCUAGCACCCGAGCCUAGAUUUUUAAAGCACUACAAUUUUUUCUUAAUCAUGAUGGAUUGAGAGUAGUGUUUUAAAAAUCAGGUAAAUCGCAAUGACUUAAUCGAUGUCAAUAUCGAAGUCGUGUGAGAAAUUGUUAUAGUAUGAGAACAAUUUCGUAAUUCGUGCUUUCAAAA
Molecule: long non-coding RNA, 354 nt
Organism: Anastrepha obliqua
Lineage: Eukaryota; Metazoa; Arthropoda; Insecta; Diptera; Tephritidae
Exons: 2
Source: RefSeq, a predicted model, not a curated record